This 376-nucleotide RNase P RNA is filed under the name Corynebacterium accolens ATCC 49725. RNAcentral's name for it is "bacterial RNase P class A". It matches the Rfam family "Bacterial RNase P class A", at positions 43 to 351 of the family's 367-position model. Rfam says of the family: Ribonuclease P (RNase P) is a ubiquitous endoribonuclease, found in archaea, bacteria and eukarya as well as chloroplasts and mitochondria. Its best characterised activity is the generation of mature 5'-ends of tRNAs by cleaving the 5'-leader elements of precursor-tRNAs. The record is from RNAcentral. RNAcentral also lists the same sequence under 1 other name. Lineage: Bacteria; Bacillati; Actinomycetota; Actinomycetes; Mycobacteriales; Corynebacteriaceae.
GAGGAAAGUCCGGACUCCACAGAGCACGGUGGUUGCUAACGGCAACCCGGGGUGACCCGCGGGCAAGUGCAACAGAAAGUAGACCGCCUUGUGCCUCCACUUGCGUUUCGGCUCAAGUUGGGGACACAAGGUAAGGGUGAAACGGUGCGUUAAGAGCGCACCAGCAUCGUCAGUGAUGGCGGUGGCUGGGUAAACCCCACCGGGAGCAAGGCAUCACGGCCCUGCCACGUUGCAGGGCCCGAUCAGGCGUUUUAAGGCUGCUCGCCCGAGCCUGAAGGUAGCUGCUGGAACCAACUGGCAACGGUUGGUCUAGAUGGAUGUUCGCCGCGCGGCGUUCCGCUUAAUGGGGCGCUGCGGUUAGACAGAAUCCGGCUUA